RNAcentral lists this ribosomal RNA (1346 nucleotides) under uncultured bacterium. Its description in RNAcentral is "partial 16S ribosomal RNA". It matches the Rfam family "Bacterial small subunit ribosomal RNA", at positions 28 to 1381 of the family's 1533-position model. The record is from RNAcentral.
GACGAACGCUGGCGGCGUGCUUAACACAUGCAAGUCGAACGGAAAGGCCCUGCUUUUGUGGGGUGCUCGAGUGGCGAACGGGUGAGUAACACGUGAGUAACCUGCCCUUGACUUUGGGAUAACUUCAGGAAACUGGGGCUAAUACCGGAUAGGAGCUCCUGCUGCAUGGUGGGGGUUGGAAAGUUUCGGCGGUUGGGGAUGGGCUCGCGGCUUAUCAGCUUGUUGGUGGGGUAGUGGCUUACCAAGGCUUUGACGGGUAGCCGGCCUGAGAGGGUGACCGGCCACAUUGGGACUGAGAUACGGCCCAGACUCUUACGGGAGGCAGCAGUGGGGAAUAUUGCACAAUGGGCGGAAGCCUGAUGCAGCAACGCCGCGUGCGGGAUGACGGCCUUCGGGUUGUAAACCGCUUUCGCCUGUGACGAAGCGUGAGUGACGGUAAUGGGUAAAGAAGCACCGGCUAACUACGUGCCAGCGGCCGCGGUGAUACGUAGGGUGCGAGCGUUGUCCGGAUUUAUUGGGCGUAAAGGGCUCGUAGGUGGUUGAUCGCGUCGGAAGUGUAAUCUUGGGGCUUAACCCUGAGCGUGCUUUCGAUACGGGUUGACUUGAGGAAGGUAGGGGAGAAUGGAAUUCCUGGUGGAGCGGUGGAAUGCGCAGAUAUCAGGAGGAACACCAGUGGCGAAGGCGGUUCUCUGGGCCUUUCCUGACGCUGAGGAGCGAAAGCGUGGGGAGCGAACAGGCUUAGAUUCCCUGGUAGUCCACGCUGUAAACGGUGGGUACUAGGUGUGGGGUCCAUUCCACGGGUUCCGUGCCGUAGCUAACGCUUUAAGUACCCCGCCUGGGGAGUGCGGCCGCAAGGCUAAAACUCAAAGGAAUUGACGGGGCCCCGCACAAGCGGCGGAGCAUGCGGAUUAAUUCGAUGCAACGCGUAGAACCUUACCUGGGUUUGACAUGGAUCGGGAGUGCUCAGAGAUGGGUGUGCCUCUUUUGGGGUCGGUUCACAGGUGGUGCAUGGCUGUCGUCAGCUCGUGUCGUGAGAUGUUGGGUUAAGUCCCGCAACGAGCGCAACCCUUGUUCACUGUUGCCAGCACGUUAUGGUGGGGACUCAGUGGAGACCGCCGGGGUCAACUCGGAGGAAGGUGGGGAUGACGUCAAGUCAUCAUGCCCCUUAUGUCCAGGGCUUCACGCAUGCUACAAUGGCUGGUACAGAGAGUGGCGAGCCUGUGAGGGUGAGCGAAUCUCGGAAAGUCGGUCUCAGUUCGGAUUGGGGUCUGCAACUCGACCUCAUGAAGUCGGAGUCGCUAGUAAUCGCAGAUCAGCAACGCUGCGGUGAAUACGUUCCCGGGGCU